GACGAACGCUGGCGGCGUGCCUAAUACAUGCAAGUCGAACGCAGUGGGGACGGGUGAGUAACACGUGGGUAACCUCCCCAUCAGAGGGGAUAACACUUCGAAACAGGUGCUAAACCGAUCCUGAAGGCUGGACCCGCCGUGCAUGAGCUAGUUGGUGAGGAAACGGCUCACCAAGGCACCGAUGCAUAGCCGACCUGAGAGGGUGAUCGGCCCAACUGGGAUGGAGACACGGCCCAGACUCCUACGGGAGGCAGCAGUAGGGAAUCUGCGGAAAUGGGCGAAAGUCUGACCAAGCAACGCCGCGUGGGUGAAGAAGGUUUUCGGAUCGUAAAACUCUGUUGUUAGGGAAGCGGUAUCUAACCAGAAAGCCACGGCUAACUACGUGCCAGCAGCCGCGGUAAUAC
This 404-nucleotide ribosomal RNA is filed under the name uncultured bacterium. Its description in RNAcentral is "partial 16S ribosomal RNA". It matches the Rfam family "Bacterial small subunit ribosomal RNA", at positions 28 to 526 of the family's 1533-position model. The record is from RNAcentral.